Zea mays is the source of this 96-nucleotide non-coding RNA. NCBI's taxonomy places the organism in Eukaryota, Viridiplantae, Streptophyta, Magnoliopsida, Poales, Poaceae. The record is from Rfam.
UGAAAGCUAUGAUGAAUCGUGGAAAUUAAAUUCGCAUGUCAGACUUCAGAGAUGCUUUGGCAUUAAUGAGAAGAUGUUUCAUGUUCUGAGCAGUGA